UUUGUAUUACGUGCGGAAAUUGUUACCAUUUCGGCUCAAAAAUGGUAACAAUUUCCGCACGUAAGGCCAA
This 70-nucleotide microRNA precursor is filed under the name Paramuricea clavata. Lineage: Eukaryota; Metazoa; Cnidaria; Anthozoa; Malacalcyonacea; Plexauridae. The record is from RNAcentral.